Molecule: ribosomal RNA, 503 nt
Filed under: uncultured organism
Description: SSU rRNA
Rfam family: Bacterial small subunit ribosomal RNA
Source: RNAcentral
GAUCCUGGCUCAGGAUGAACGCUAGCUACAGGCCUAACACAUGCAAGUCGAGGGGCAUCGCGGCGAGGAGCAAUCCUUUCCGGCGGCGACCGGCGGAUGGGUGAGUAACGCGUAUCCAACCUGCCCCGCGCUCGGGCACAGCCCCUGGAAACGGGGAGUGACUCCCGAUGGCGCCCCUCCGCCGCAUGGUGGUGGGGCUAAAUUUCGAGGCGCGGGAUGGGGGUGCGUCCGAUUAGGUUGUUGGCGGGGCAACGGCCCACCAAGCCAGUGAUCGGUAGGGGUUCUGAGAGGAAGGUCCCCCACACUGGAACUGAGACACGGUCCAGACUCCUACGGGAGGCAGCAGUGAGGAAUAUUGGACAAUGGCCGGAAGGCUGAUCCAGCCAUGCCGCGUGCGGGAAGACGGCCCUAUGGGUUGUAAACCGCUUUUGUUGGGGAGCAAUAAGGUCCACGUGUGGAUUGAUGAGAGUACCCAGCGAAUAAGCAUCGGCUAACUCCGUGCC